GGGGGAGAAGGAAAUAUAGCCAAGGCCCAUCAUGUCCCCUUUGCUUCCUCAGUGCAUGCCAGCUCCCACAUGGCUAUUUGGUAUUGUGAAUGAUACGGCCCAGCAGCCACGGGCCAAAGGACAUGCUCUUAAACACCCAGGUCCUGCUCUGAGUAACCUCAAACAAUCCCAUGACACAUUCUCUGGGAGCACCACUCAGAGCGUGUCCCCACUCCAGCAGCAGGUACAGAGAGACAAGAUCAAUCAGCCAAUGGCAGAGUUGGGAAGAGAGCACGCGUGACUAAGAUGCUCUAGGGACUUUGGGGAUGAAAACUGCUAUACUAAUUUUCAGACUUUCCCAACCCUAGAAGUUCUAUGUGGUUCCAGAUAUCUGCCUCAAACCUCACAGGUAUUAGGCUCUGAUCCUGCACUGAGAACUGCAUACCAGGUGGACCCUGACAGCUGAGUGGGGAAAGACAAUGGGUCUCUGUGCAGACACAGGGUCUACCUACAUAGUUUCUCAAAAAGGCCUUACUUUAUAGUGGGCCUUUCAAAAUACUAUACCCUGUAGAGCUCUUGCUUAACCCUCAAGUAUGACAUUUGGAGCAGUGCUGAAGAGGUCGUCAUCCUGCAAUAAGCUAAUUAGGGUGGACAAAAGGUGGAUCAGCCUGGCAAACUUGCUGUACAUGGAAGUUUUCAAGAGGAGUCCAUUUUAAAUGUUUGUUUAAAG
Long non-coding RNA from Gopherus agassizii (Agassiz's desert tortoise), 709 nucleotides. The record is from Ensembl. NCBI's taxonomy places the organism in Eukaryota, Metazoa, Chordata, Testudines, Testudinidae.